GUGAUAAAUACAAACCAUCUAGAAUAAACAAAAAUCAUUAUUUAGAGCUAUUAAAGAGUGGGUAGAGAGCAUUAAAUGCACAAAAAAUUAGACCAAAAACUAGUCGUACAAGCUGUUAGGACAUAGGGUUCAUGGGUCAAACCCCUGUUAUAGGGAUCACCCCAUGUGGCAAAACAGAGAUAGGGCUCUCUGUUUGGCCCUGUGGCACAACAUGGAUCGACCUUAGGGUGACCCCCUGGCUAGGGUUCGUCCCUUAUGGCAUGCCUGGCAUCUAUAGCAUGCC
RNAcentral lists this long non-coding RNA (283 nucleotides) under Elaeis guineensis (African oil palm). RNAcentral describes it as "long non-coding RNA (EGUI_LNC028651)". The record is from RNAcentral. Lineage: Eukaryota; Viridiplantae; Streptophyta; Magnoliopsida; Arecales; Arecaceae.